CUUUAGUAUCUCCCCACUACAGUGCGAGAAAAGUCAGGGCAAAGGAUUGAAAAGAAGUUCACAACAAAAAAGUUUGAACACAAGCAAACCUGAAACAGAUGCAGGGUAGUAGAUCUUAAGGGUGCGUUGCUCACUCCAGGGCCUGCUGCCACCCAGAUGGCUGGCAAACACCAGGACUCCGAACACAACAGGAUUCAGGGAUUCAGACAGGAGUCUUGCUCUACCAAUUAUUAUAGGAUCUUAGGUAAGCUACUUUCUUGCUAAAACUUAGUUUCCUUAAAUCCAAAGUCAGGGUAAAACACCUGACAUAAUUACCUUAGGGGAUGGUACUGAAACAAAAAGAUAAAGAUGUAGGAGCACUCCUUGCAUUCUGACUUCUUUAUAAAUAUACUUUUUAUCUUUAUCUUUGUACACGUUUAAAAGAAUCACAGCACUAGGGAGAUAGGUUUUGCUAUGGGAAGGAACAUGAAUUGGAAGUCAGAAAAUGUGGGUUUGAAACCUAAUUCAAGUAGUAACUUCUACUAUAGGCCCAUUGGUGUAAUAGCCACUUAGGAGGCAGAGAUGGAAAAAUCACUGGGGCUUCUUCAUUUUUACAACGAAAAAUGUGUCUAGGUAAUGUCCACUAAUAUCCAGUCACUCAAUGCAAGAGUUUUAUAAACUCCUGCCCUGUGGAACUAGAGCUGAGUCAUGUGGUUCGCUUUGGACUAUAAACAUGGGUGGAGGUGAUAUUGAGAGGUGACAGUGUGCUGGCAGUCCUCAGAGCCCUCGCUUGCUCUCCGCACCUCCUCUGCCUGGGCUCCCACUUUGGCGGCAUUUGAGGAGCCCUUCAGCCCACCACUGCACUGUGGGAGCCCCUUUCUGGGCUGGCCAAGGCUGGAGCCCACUCCCUCAGCUUGCAGGGAGGUGUGGAGGGAGAGGCGCGAGCGGGAACUGGGGCUGCGUGCAGUCCCUUGCGGGCCAGCUGGAGUUCCGGGUGGGCGUGGGCUUGGCGGGCCCCGCACUCGGAGCGGCCGGCCGGCCCUGACGGCCCCGGGCAGUGAGGGGCUUAGCACCCGGGCCAGCCGCUGCGGAGGGUGUACUGGGUCCCCCAGCAGUGCCAUUCCACCGGUGCUGCGCUCGAUUUCUCGCCGGGCCUUAGCUGCCUUCCCGCGGGGCAGGCCUCCGGACUGCAGCCCGCCAUGCCUGAGCCUUCCCCCGCCUCCAUGGGUUCCUGUGCAGCCUGAGCCUCCCCGACGAAUGCCGCCCCCUGCUCCACGGCCCCCAGUCCCAUCCACUGCCCAAGAGCUGAGGAGUACGAGCGCAUGGCACGGACUGGCAGGCAGCUCCACCUGCAGCCCCGGUGCGGGAUCCACUGGGUGAAGCCAGCUGGGCUCCUGAGUCUGGUGGGGACAUGGAGAGUCUUUAUAUCCAGCUCAGGGAUUGUAAACGCACCAAUCAGCACCCUGUCAAAACAGACCACUUCGCUCUACCAAUCAGCAGGAUGUGGGUGGGGCCAGACAAGACAAUAAAAGCAGGCUGCCCCCAGCCAGCAGUAGCAACCCGCUCGGGUCUCUUUCCAGGCUGUGGAAGCUUUGUUCUUUCGCUCUUUGCAAAAAAUCUUGCUACUGCUCACUCUUUGGGUCAACAUUGCUUUUAUGAGCUGUAACACUCAUUGGGAAGAUCUGUAGCUUCACUCCUGAAGCCACCAAGACCACGAGCCCAACGGGAAAAACAAACAACUCCAGACGCGUUGCCUUAAGAGCUGUAACACUCACCAGGAAGCUCUGCAGUUUCACUUCUGAGCUAGCGAGACCAUGAAUCCACCAGAAGGACAAAACAAUGAACACAUCUCAACAGCAGAGGGGACAAACUCCAGACGUGCCACCUUAAGAGCUGUAACACUCACCGCGACGGUCCGCGGCUUCAUUCUUGAAAUGCCUUUCCAGUAAAGCUAACAAAAAACAAAACAAAAUAAAACCAUAUCCAAAAUACUAAACAGCUGUCUCCAAGAUCAGAAGGCAUCAGAAAAGACCCUCAAGAGUUGUCUAAUCCCAGAGGAAGAUCUUAAGUGGGGAUGUGCUCACAGCAGAAACCUUGGAAAUUUCAGGGAGUGAAAUUUUAUUGUCAGAACUUUCAAUAAAAGUGUAGCCACAGAUCCUGGGAGCAUUAAAUAAAAAUUACCAACAAGCUGUCUUACCUGUGUGCACUCCACUGAAAGGAAGGGCAAACAUGAGCAAGGAGCUCUUGUACAUCAGUCAAAAUUCUGACAGCUACCCUGUGAAGUUUGACGGGCUGCCAUGUGCUAGACUACCUAAGAUACUCUUAACUGAACCAUAAAAAGACAAAUAAAUUAGUAAUUGUAUCCCUCCUGUCAAUGUCCUUUUUCGUGAACUUCUCAAGGUGUUGGUUAACAUUGUCUGGAAUGAUUUAUCAAUAUAUUCUUAGCUUUCUUAGGAAACACAGAUAGACUUGAUUUUUUCCAAAUUGUUUUUUGAAUUGAUUUAAGAAAAUGAUACAGAUAUUGCCAAUUGCUG
This 2513-nucleotide long non-coding RNA is filed under the name Homo sapiens (human). Its description in RNAcentral is "HSALNT0380583". Lineage: Eukaryota; Metazoa; Chordata; Mammalia; Primates; Hominidae. The record is from RNAcentral.